UACGUAGGGACGAGCGUUGUCCGGAAUGAUUGGGCGUAAAGGGCGCGUAGGCGGCUGUGCAAGUCAGUAGUGGAAGCCCAGCUUUUAAGGUUGGAAGUGCUAUUGAAACUGUGCAGCUUGAGUGCAGGAGAGGUUAUCGGAAUUCCCGGUGUAGCGGUGAAAUGCGUAGAGAUCGGGAGGAACACCAGUGGCGAAGGCGGGUGACUGGACUGCAACUGACGCUGAGGCGCGAAAGUGUGGGGAGCAAACAGGAUUAGAUA
Molecule: ribosomal RNA, 260 nt
Filed under: uncultured prokaryote
Description: partial 16S ribosomal RNA
Rfam family: Bacterial small subunit ribosomal RNA
Source: RNAcentral